UAAAUAGAGAUGAGGUUGGAUUUAAAGAAUAUAAAUUGAAGAUAAUCACAAAAUUAACAUUUAGAAAAAAAACUAAUACAGAAAAAUAAGAUCAUACAAAAGCUGAGUCUCCAACAAAUCAAAUAUCAAAAGAUAAAACAAAAAAAAAUCAAUUAUACAAAAAUAUUUUAAAAAUAUUAAUUAAGAAUGUCACACGUCCCUACACGGCAUCUUUUAGCAAUUUUUCAUGGAUUUAUUUUUUGGAAGUCACCACCUAGUAUUUGAUUAAGAGUUACUAGAAAAUCUGGAUGUACUGGUCGCUGUCAAAAAUUCAAGGGUAAGGAACUGGUUGUGGCUAUGAAAGAUAUUAGUAUCCCUAACACAUCCUAUCUGAGGUAAGCUGCUUUGCAGUUUGAAUUAAUUUAAAAAUUUAAAAUAUUAAUCAAAUUCUUAAGACUUUAAUAAAUCAGUUAUUAAAUCUCAAAAUAAAUAUAAAAACAUGUUCUUAUAUUUUUUUCAGGAAAUACAACAUGAUUUUAUUUGUCUGGAGAUAUUUAUUCAUAUUCAAAUUAAACAAUUAAUUCUUUUUGUUUUUUUUAUUUUAUUUUUAACAAUAAAACAAAACAUUCAUAAAAAAACAAAACACCCACUACCACUACUUUUUUACUAUACUCAUUCUGUUACAUGUUUACAUAAUAACAUAAGCUAAAAAAACAUUUCACAGAAAAUUAAAUACAUGUUCAAACAUCUAAAAAUUACAAAAAGGUCCCUAAAAAGUCCAGGAACAGUAGAGGAGGUCCUCAGGAACUGUGGAGCAGUGGCGGCGCGUCUCCCCACGCGCGGCCGUCACUGGCGGCGCGUGGGAUCUGUUAUAGCUUCCUCCCCUCUUCACUUUCCUUGCCGGUGGCGACCUGCAAAAACAACCACAAACGCAACAACAGUUGAUUUUUCUUUCAUUAUUUUCGGAUCUGCCUCCUCCCCCUUUCUCCUUUCAUAUCCGCUGCAUCUCUGCAAGUUUUUUGUUU
RNAcentral lists this long non-coding RNA (1004 nucleotides) under Populus trichocarpa (black cottonwood). RNAcentral's name for it is "long non-coding RNA (PTRI_LNC004809)". Lineage: Eukaryota; Viridiplantae; Streptophyta; Magnoliopsida; Malpighiales; Salicaceae. The record is from RNAcentral.